AGGGAGACUGAUCAACUACAAUGAAACCACACAAGAAAAAGUCUUGGGUUGAUGGUGCUGUUCUGUAUUUUUAUUAUGGUUGUGAUUACAUAACACUAUGUACUUAUCAGAAUUUAUAAAACUACACAAAAUCGGUAAAUUUUACAGUAGGUAAAAUUUUAAAAUUGCAUCUUCUUAGCAGUACCUGCUCUUUCAUAAGUUUUCUAGCUCCAUCUUCUUUUCCAUUUAUUCACUGAAAAAGUAAUUAUUAGUGGCUACAAGUUGCCAUACAUUGGAAUUAGAGAUAAACAUUAAAAAACAAGAUGAAAAUAUGUUUGCUUUCAUGGAGCUUACUAUCCACUCAGAGGAAAUAGGAGUUACGAAGGAAAAUGUAUAAUGUCGUCUGAUGAUACAGGGAUAUUAUAACCAAUUAAUGGAAAGAAACAUUUAAGACAACACCUUCCUCUAUGUUUACAUCAGGAUGCAUUUUUGUAAUUGAGGACUGGGGAUUCAAAGUGAACAUGAGUCACUGCCAUAAUGUUGCUUACAUACUAAUGGAGAAUGAAGACGAAAAGAUAACUAGAUGGAGUCUUCCUAUGUUGCCCAGUCUGAACUUGAACUCGUGAACUCAAGCAAUCAUCCUACCUCAGCCUUCCAAGCAGCUGGGAAUAAAAAAGUCCACCACCACGUCUCGCAGCAGUUCCUCCGCAUCAAGAAUCUGGCAAAUUUAUCUUGGACCUCUUCUUCACGGUGUCUCACAGGCUGCAAGCAAGUUGUUGGCUGGGUUUUGGCCAUCUCAAAUCUCAACUGGGUAAAGAUUUGCUUCCAAUAUCACACAGUUAAUGGCAGGAUUCGGUUCUUCACAAGUCAUUGAACUGAAGACCUCAAUUAUUUGCUAUUGGCCACAGGCUGCCCUCGGUUUAUUGCCACAUGGGCUUCUCCAGCAAGGCAAAAACACACAUGCUGAGAAGGCAAUAGAGAGAGCCUACUAGCAAGACAGAAGUCUUUUAAAACCUAAUCGUGGAAAAUGACAUUCCGCAACUUUUGCUAUAUUCUGCUUAUUAGAAAAGAGGCAGGAAUACCAGGAGAUAGGGAUCAUUGGAACUGAUAUUAAAUGACUAUCAAAGUUCACCCUCUGGCCUCUAACGAUUUUUUAUUUCCCUACCAAAUGUGAAAUAACUCCUCUCAAGGUUCUCAGACGUCUCAUUCCAUUAUAACAUCAACUUGAAGUAUAGAAUCCUCAUCGUUAAAAUCAGCUCUCACUCUUUGUUCAGUGUCUCUCAACCUGUGACCUGUGACUAUUCAGACCAGCCCCAUGACACCUAUUUAUGCCAUAUGGAGAAAAGCACCACCUAGAAAAGCCUUCCCAAAUUCCUGAACCUCAAGUGUGCAGAAUUUAAUAAAAUGGUUGUUUUUUAAGUA
Molecule: long non-coding RNA, 1401 nt
Filed under: Homo sapiens (human)
Lineage: Eukaryota; Metazoa; Chordata; Mammalia; Primates; Hominidae
Description: uncharacterized LOC102723364, transcript variant 1 (LOC102723364)
Source: RNAcentral